This 486-nucleotide ribosomal RNA is filed under the name uncultured bacterium. Its description in RNAcentral is "bacterial SSU rRNA". It matches the Rfam family "Bacterial small subunit ribosomal RNA", at positions 899 to 1397 of the family's 1533-position model. The record is from RNAcentral.
ACUCAAAGGAAUUGACGGGUCCCCGCACAAGCAGCGGAGCGUGUGGUUUAAUUCGUUGCUACACGAAGAACCUUACCUGGGUUUGACAUAGCAGUGGUAGGGAAGAGAAAUCGGACCGACCCUUCGGGGAGCUGUUACAGGUGUUGCAUGGCUGUCGUCAGCUCGUGUCGUGAGAUGUUCGGUUAAGUCCGCUAACGAGCGCAACCCGCGUUGUGUGUUAUAUGUGUCACACAAUACCGCCGGUAUUAAGCCGGAGGAAGGUGCGGAUGACGUCAAGUCAGCAUGACCUUUAUAUCCAGGGCUACACACACGCUACAAUGGACAGUACAACAGGUUGCCAAGCCGCGAGGCGGAGCCAAUCCUCUAAAGCUGUCCUCAGUUCAGAUUGCAGGCUGCAACUCGCCUGCAUGAAGUUGGAGUUGCUAGUAACCGCAGGUCAGCUAUACUGCGGUGAAUACGUUCCCGGGGAUUGUACACACCGCCCGU